Molecule: long non-coding RNA, 543 nt
Organism: Erinaceus europaeus (western European hedgehog)
Lineage: Eukaryota; Metazoa; Chordata; Mammalia; Eulipotyphla; Erinaceidae
Exons: 3
Source: RefSeq, a predicted model, not a curated record
CCAGAGUCUCAGGAAAGAGGAGGACAAACUGAGGCCUGCCCUGCUCCCUGAUCUUAUAUCCCAGCACCCGCCAGGGAUAGAAGCACUAAAAUGCUUGAUUUUGUGAGUGGAGUUUUGAACCUAGGACCCAAGGUGUGUGAGGUACAAGUUCACUUCUCCUGUAUGGCUUGGCAUCACCUGAAGUGAGUGGCUCUUCAAAGACUACAGAGCAACAUGAAAUGGCAUCUUCCACUUCCAAGAACUUGCAGGGAUUCUGGACUAUAAAUAAACACUUGGGAUGGCAUUGGGCACUUGUCUAUAUCCAUUCACCCUCCACGUUACUAACAGAUGAAAAAGUAUGGAUGUGUUGUCAGGCCUAUCUUUUUUUUUUUUUUCAUGUAGGGAGGUCUGAAUUAAUUCCUAUGAUUCAUACCGACCUUUUAGCUCUGCUCUGUGGUCAUUGUGCCUUAGUGCUUGAUGCCACGUCAGAACUGAGAGGGGGUCAAUUUAUCACCAAGCAGAACAAAAAGGGAUGGAGAAAAUAAAGGAUGUGCUAUUGGGGUG